Molecule: ribosomal RNA, 564 nt
Filed under: uncultured bacterium
Lineage: Bacteria
Description: partial 16S ribosomal RNA
Rfam family: Bacterial small subunit ribosomal RNA
Source: RNAcentral
AAACUCAAAGGAAUNGACGGGGGCCCGCACAAGCGGUGGAGCAUGUGGUUUAAUUCGAAGCAACGCGCAGAACCUUACCAGGAUUUGACAUGGGCAAGACGCGUCCAGAGAUGGGCGUUCCCGCAAGGGCUUGCCGCACAGGUGCUGCAUGGCUGUUGUCAGCUCGUGUCGUGAGAUGUUGGGNNNGGNNCCGCAACGAGCGCAACCCUCGCCUUCAGUUGCCAUCAGGUUUGGCUGGGCACUCUGAAGGGACUGCCGGUGACAAGCCGGAGGAAGGUGGGGAUGACGUCAAGUCCUCAUGGCCCUUAUGUCCUGGGCUACACACGUGCUACAAUGGCGGUGACAGUGGGAAGCCAGGCAGCGAUGCCGAGCCGAUCCUGAAAAGCCGUCUCAGUUCGGAUUGCACUCUGCAACUCGGGUGCAUGAAGGUGGAAUCGCUAGUAAUCGCGGAUCAGCACGCCGCGNUNNNNNNNUCCCGGGCCUUGUACACACCGCCCGUCACACCAUGGGAGUUGGUUCGACCUUAAGCCGGUGCGCCNNNNNNNNNNGGGGGCAGCCGACCAC